RNAcentral lists this long non-coding RNA (1541 nucleotides) under Capra hircus (goat). Its description in RNAcentral is "lncRNA (ENSCHIG00010013673.1)". Lineage: Eukaryota; Metazoa; Chordata; Mammalia; Artiodactyla; Bovidae. The record is from RNAcentral.
CAUGGGGUCGCAAAGAGUUGGACACGACUGAGCAACUGAACUGAACAGUUUCAUUUAGUAAGUCAUUAAGUCAAAACAAUUUAGUAAGCAUCGAUGUCCUAGCAAUUUAGUAGCCAACUGAAAAAAAUAAUAGAAUCCUAUUUUAAUUUUAUUCUUUAGGUAGGCACAAUGACGAAUGGGUUCUUAUUAAGCACCGUCCAACUGCUUAUGCUUUAGAAUCUUAUUUUACUGAUAUGUCUCCCUUAUUUCCUAUUUCUUAUUAAUUUUUCUUGCGAUAUUUGCUUUUAGUCAAAGCAUUUGCUAACAAACCAGGUUUUCAAAGAUAGGACAUUACUGAGAGGAAGACAGCAUGAUCUAAUACAGAAGCUAUUGACGACCCCACGCUAGUAGCUUAUGAUGUUAAAAAGAUGUGGGGUAUUUUUCUGUUUCAUUGAAAAUUUGUAAAUUGCACACAGCAUCACCGGGAACUUGCAGUGGCACCCCAGAGUGCCUCAGUACGUAGUUUGGGAAACAAGUACCAUCAGUAUACUUCAUGUAAGAUAUUUGACAUAAAUAAUUUUAUAGUAUUUCCUAUUGCCAGUUAAGGUUUACAUUUAAUCUACUUAUAAAAAUGGGCUUAAUACAGAAAAGUAUAUAAAUUAUGAUUAUACAGCUGUAAAGUGAACAGACCCAUGUAACCUCCACCCAAAUCAAAGAAAAGAACAUUAACAAUAGCCCAUUUCAGCCCCUCAGGCUGCAUUUCAGUCACUGCCCCUGUGCCCCUAAAGGUAAUUACUAUCUGCUCCUCUGAAACCAUAUAUGGGAUCCGCCUGUGUAUGAACAGCGCCCGUCUGAAGCAGAGCCAUUUUGGAGUUUCAGUGAAUUGUAUUUAUGGCUGCUUCUCCACCAUCUUUCCCAGCUCCCCCACACUGUGAAGUCGCUCUGAAGACUGAGCCCGAGUUGGCCCAAAGGCUCAGUAAUGAACUUCUUACCAGAAUCAAAAGCAACCACCCCACUGCAUUUCCUGACCAAGGGGGCAAGUGACCUAAUGUGAUCCAAUCAGAAAAAAGUCCCCGGAUUUUAUUUCCUCCUUCUCUUCCUCCUUCCUUUCUUCCCUUUUUUUAAAACCUCCUUUCCUUUUCCUUUUUUUCAAUGUGACACUUUCUCUGUUUCAACUGGACAAGGAAGUAGGUGAUCCCAGGAAUGCUGACAUCAAUCCUGCAGGUGUGAACUGAAUUAGCCUUGGGACAGAAGGCAGAUCGGAGAAAACAUACAAACGGAAAUCACAAAACAGUAAAUGUCCCACAGGGUCACCACAGGGUCACCGAGUCACAGCUGCACUUUAUGUGAACUAAUAAAUGCCAAUUUUGUAUAAGCCAAUUUGAGCUUUCUUCCACUUAUAUACUUAUCAGAUCAUAAGAUUAGCUAAAUAUCAGCUGGCUGGAAACCUCAGUCAUGUAAAACAACUCCGUUCCCAAUGUGGAAAAACUAGAAUCUCAUUUUCCUGACAGAAAAGAAAAUGCUAGCGAACUAAAAUCUCCAUUUGAAAGACCAAUCGGCUA